UCUCCGUAGGUGAACCUGCGGAGGGAUCAUUACCGAGUUCAUGCCCUACCGGGUAGAUCUCCCACCCUUUGUUUUGAUUACUUUGUUGCUUUGGCGGGCCGUUAGGCUCCGGCCCGACUACCGGCCCCGGCUGGUACGCGCCCGCCAGAGGCCCAAAACCCUGAAUAGUAGGGUCGUCUGAGUACUAUAGAAUAGUUAAAACUUUCAACAACGGAUCUCUUGGUUCUG
Molecule: unclassified non-coding RNA, 228 nt
Filed under: plant metagenome
Description: partial contains small subunit ribosomal RNA, internal transcribed spacer 1, and 5.8S ribosomal RNA
Source: RNAcentral